RNAcentral lists this transfer RNA (69 nucleotides) under Empoascanara angkhangica. RNAcentral's name for it is "tRNA-Asn". The record is from RNAcentral. Lineage: Eukaryota; Metazoa; Arthropoda; Insecta; Hemiptera; Cicadellidae.
UUAAUAGAAACCAAAAACAGAGGUAUCUUAUUGUUAAUAAGAACAAUGAGUCAUUGUACUCCUAUUAAA